GAUGAACGCUAGCUACAGGCUUAACACAUGCAAGUCGAGGGGAAACGGCAUUAAGUGCUUGCACUUUUUGGACGUCGACCGGCGCACGGGUGAGUAACGCGUAUCCAACCUUCCCAUGACUAAGGGAUAACCUGCCGAAAGGCAGACUAAUACCUUAUGGUCUUCACUGACGGCAUCAGAUGUGAAGUAAAGAUUUAUCGGUUAUGGAUGGGGAUGCGUCUGAUUAGCUGGUUGGCGGGGUAACGGCCCACCAAGGCAACGAUCAGUAGGGGUUCUGAGAGGAAGGUCCCCCACAUUGGAGCUGCGGCCCAGUCCACACUCCUACGGGAGGCAGCAGUGAGGAAUAUUGGUCAAUGGGCGAGAGCCUGAACCAGCCAAGUAGCGUGCAGGAUGCCGGCCCUAUGGGUUGUAAACUGCUUUUGUAUGGGGAUAAAGUCAAUCACGCGUGAUUGUUUGCCGUUACCAGACGAAUAAGGACCGGCUAAUUCCGUG
This 492-nucleotide ribosomal RNA is filed under the name uncultured bacterium. RNAcentral describes it as "partial 16S ribosomal RNA". It matches the Rfam family "Bacterial small subunit ribosomal RNA", at positions 28 to 507 of the family's 1533-position model. The record is from RNAcentral.